UACGGAGGAUGCAAGCGUUAUCCGGAUUCAUUGGGUUUAAAGGGUGCGCAGGCGGAUUAAUAAGUCAGUGGUGAAAUCCUACGGCUCAACUGUAGAACUGCCAUUGAUACUGUUAGUCUUGAGUAUUGUUGAGGUAGGCGGAAUGUGUCAUGUAGCGGUGAAAUGCUUAGAUAUGACACAGAACACCAAUCGCGAAGGCAGCUUACCAAGCAAUAACUGACGCUCAUGCACGAAAGCGUGGGGAUCAAACAGG
Molecule: ribosomal RNA, 253 nt
Filed under: uncultured bacterium
Lineage: Bacteria
Description: partial 16S ribosomal RNA
Rfam family: Bacterial small subunit ribosomal RNA
Source: RNAcentral